Molecule: ribosomal RNA, 303 nt
Filed under: uncultured bacterium
Lineage: Bacteria
Description: partial 16S ribosomal RNA
Rfam family: Bacterial small subunit ribosomal RNA
Source: RNAcentral
AGCAGUCGCCACGGUAAUACAGAGGGUGCGAGCGUUAAUCGGAUUUACUGGGCGUAAAGCGUGCGUAGGCGGCUUCUUAAGUCGGAUGUGAAAUCCCUGAGCUUAACUUAGGAAUUGCAUUCGAUACUGGGAAGCUAGAGUAUGGGAGAGGAUGGUAGAAUUCCAGGUGUAGCGGUGAAAUGCGUAGAGAUCUGGAGGAAUACCGAUGGCGAAGGCAGCCAUCUGGCCUAAUACUGACGCUGAGGUACGAAAGCAUGGGGAGCAAACAGGAUUAGAGACCCGUGUAGUCCCUGUCUCUUAUAC